Molecule: long non-coding RNA, 3207 nt
Organism: Cornus florida
Lineage: Eukaryota; Viridiplantae; Streptophyta; Magnoliopsida; Cornales; Cornaceae
Exons: 5
Source: RefSeq, a predicted model, not a curated record
CCAUUUUUACCCAAACAUAAUUUUUUAAUCACCCUCCGUCGCCUUCCCUCCCUUCUCCUCCCAUUUUCACUCUAUCAAACUGAGUCUUAAAACACAUUCAAUUAACCCUAACCCUAACCCUUUUCUCACGCAAAUCUUCAUUCAUGGCUUCUCGCUAGCUCUUAUCCUCCCUCUUCCGUUCCUCCACCCGUUGCUCUGCUCUAAAACCCUCAAUCGCAAACCCUAGAUCGCGCACGCCGUCUCUAUCAUCUCGUCCUUUACCGGCCGGUUUUCUCUUGAACAGCGUCGUGGACUACGCCACCUCCUCCGCCGCCGCUACAGAUCCGGCGCCGCCGUCGAAGUGGAUGGGACCGUUGGCAAGAUAACUGAUCAGUUCACGGUGCUGGUGCGAUCGCCCAGGUGUUUCAGGUGAUCGCUUGAGGUUUUGAAUAAUUCUAUUCGACUGGUUCUUGAAGUGGUGCAGCAUUUGGGAGAAAACAUGUUGAGGAAGAUUGCUAUGGACUGUUCAGAGUGGCUUAUUAGAGGACAAACGGUCCUCAAUACUGGUUCUCCUAUCAGUAGGAAAUAAUGAAUUUCACUUUUAAAGAUAUAGAUUUGAUUUGAAGCAGCAUUGAUGGGACACGAUAACUUCUUCCCAAGUUUACUGGUAUGUAUAAGGAGCCUUAAGGCCCUCACGGAAGGACAAAAGAUUUCAGAAAUAUUUUCUGAUGAAAAAAGAAAGAAACCGAUCACUUUCUUCCUGUUCACUGAGAAGUUCCAGCCUUUGUUGAGCAGGCAACUGAACAACAUAUUCUUGUCACUGGAAUCAAGGUGACUUUCACCUAAAGUUUGCGCAAUAAAUGCAUUUAAAUGACAUUUACAUCGUGUAUUAUGCAUUUCUAUGGAUUUGUUAUGUCUUUAUUUUUUGGAAUAAGUGAUUUGUUCUGUCACAUGAAGUGUGAAGAUCUCUUUUAAUUUUUCUUAUCUUUUAGUAUGUCCAUUUAAACAGUUACCACUAAUAACAAUUAUAACAAAGCCUUGCUUCAACUACCUAGAGUCGGCGUCAAUAAUCAUAUUGCUCCAUCUAAGGUUUUAUGAAUCAUAUUGCUCCAACUACUUGGGGUAAAAUCAUGUUAAUUGAUUCUCUCUCUCUCUGUCUCUCUCUUUCUGUCUCUCUCCCCCCAGUGAUUGCUACUAUAACCAUCUCACGAACGUGUUCAUACACUAAUUCUAUCAUUUCUUUCUCACACAGUCAUAUCAUUUUUGCCAUGCUCACUUCGUGCAUAUGUUGUUUCUCAAUUGCAUACAGCAUACAUGAUCUCCCAUCAAGAAUGACUGGUAUAGUAGUUAUUUUAAAGGACCUUCCCUUUCAAUUUUUAGAGAGAUGUACCAAUCACGCAAUAUACUGAACGUAUUCCUCUAUUUGGUCCAUCUUACUUGAUUCUAUGAUUAACAUUUAAUCCAAUUUCUCCUUCAUUGUAAAUAGUGGAAAUGUUCAAGCUUUGGUUUCUUUUGAGUCUCAUCACUACUUGCCUAUUUAUAUACAUAGAUUUGCUAAAGUUACAAUUCAUAUAUUAAGUUUUAUUCCUACUUAUCUUAAUUCCUUUUAAUUCUAGAGCUUUCCCCCAAACCUUCAAUUUAUUACUUAGCCCUUCUCUAGCUUCAUCAUUUAAACAAUACAUGAACAAAUUUACUUUUCAAAAAAAAAAAAAAAAAAAAAAAAAAAAAAAAAGCAAUAUAUGAACAAAUAUCAUGUACCAUGAAAUCUCAUCAUGAAUGUGUUCCAUUAGUUUAUCAUGGUAAUCGUUGAGGUAAGUCCACAGUAAUUAAAAAUUCCCUUAUUUUUCCAUAGUCGUUCUAAUUGUGGUUACGAUUUCACUGUACAUGUCCAUUACAUAUUAACACAAAGUACAAAAUUUUUGUUAAUUUGCAUACCAUUUAACAUGUAAAAGAUGACUUUAGGUUACCACCAGUCCACCAUAAGUCCCCUAUGAGUGUGUAUCAGCCUGAUUACAUUCUAUACAAUGACUGCAUCUUCUGCGCCCUACAAUUCUUGUAUAGUCUGCAUUUGCUAGAUGGUGGAUCUACUUGCUCCAUAUCAAAGAGGUGGAAAGAUUGGGCUCUUUGUUGGUGCUGGGGUGGGAAAGACGGCACUUAUUAUGGAACAUGUUAACAAUGUUGCGAAAGCUCAUGGUUUGUUUACGAUUCUUUUUUUGACAACCUUCUGUCUAAAAUAUUUGCUUAUUUUCUCAAUGUUUAUUUCCUUUUCAAAUCAGGUGGCUUUUCUAUCUUUGCUGGUGUUGGUGAACGUACUUGAGAGGGCAAUGAUUUGUAUAGGAAAAUGUUUGAGAUUUGGUGUUAUUAAACUUGGAGACAACCAGGUCUUUCCGUUGCAAUUUUGACAUUUGCAAUGAGUCUGUUCUUUUGUGGUUUUUGCUGUUUUUUGAGUAACAAAAAUCUAAAAAAUUUAUUUUGGUUCUACUUGGAACUGUUUUCUAGAAACAGUUUUUCCAAAACUGAGUUAUGAUAGUUGUGGUUUUUAGAGAACAGCUGAGAGUUGUUUUGGGAACAAGGAGCUUGCCCAUUUGAAAACACGGAGAACUAUCCGUCAUUAAAAAGAUACGGAGAAGACCAUGUCGUUUAUAACACUUCUCCUUCUUACGCUUAUUUGGCAGCUAUCUAUCUAUUUUAAUCCCACAGAUGAAGAGCCCUCUUUUUCUCUGCAAUAUGAUCAGAUCUCAAUAAAUUUGUUCAGAUCUCGUUUCAGUUGCACUUUCUCUCUAGUCUUGGACUCACUAUCGACUUGAUCUCUCCCUGUUCAGGAAAUGUUAUGCUAUGUCUAUGAAGAGGAUGGGGUCAUUGUUGCUGCGAACCCUAAUAUAAAGGUUGCAAACGCAAGGUGUUACAGAGGCUUUGGUUCUCAAAGAAGGUCUGAAAUUUCUUCAUAAUUGGGGGUACCCAAAGGUAGUAGUGGAAGGAGAUGACCAAUCUGUUACGAGUUUGCAUUGGCUGACAGUUUUAUGGCUAGCGGCAUUAGAAGACGGCUCUGCUUUGUCUGCAACAUGGAGUAGACUUCCAACUUAAAUGUACUUCUAAAGCUCACAAUACAAUGGCACAAAAGUCUUGUGAUUCUGAUAUUGAUGUAUGGCCCUUCUUGGCUGGUGAUUGCAAUUAACUCUGACUGUAGUAUGGCUUCUAUUUUUGAAUAAUAAUACUAGUAUUGAUGUA